RNAcentral lists this ribosomal RNA (492 nucleotides) under uncultured bacterium. RNAcentral's name for it is "partial 16S ribosomal RNA". It matches the Rfam family "Bacterial small subunit ribosomal RNA", at positions 29 to 507 of the family's 1533-position model. The record is from RNAcentral.
AGUGAACGCUGGCGGUAGGCCUAACACAUGCAAGUCGAACGGCAGCACAGUAAGAGCUUGCUCUUACGGGUGGCGAGUGGCGGACGGGUGAGGAAUACAUCGGAAUCUACUUUUUCGUGGGGGAUAACGUAGGGAAACUUACGCUAAUACCGCAUACGACCUACGGGUGAAAGCAGGGGAUCUUCGGACCUUGCGCGAUUGAAUGAGCCGAUGUCGGAUUAGCUAGUUGGCGGGGUAAAGGCCCAUCAAGGCGACGAUCCGUAGCUGGUCUGAGAGGAUGAUCAGCCACACUGGAACUGAGACACGGUCCAGACUCCUACGGGAGGCAGCAGUGGGGAAUAUUGGACAAAGGGCGCAAGCCUGAUCCAGCCAUACCGCGUGGGUGAAGAAGGCCUUCGGGUUGUAAAGCCCUUUUGUUGGGAAAGAAAAGCAGCAGGUUAAUACCCCGCUGUUCUGACGGUACCCAAAGAAUAAGCACCGGCUAACUUCGUG